Molecule: long non-coding RNA, 2124 nt
Organism: Eriocheir sinensis (Chinese mitten crab)
Lineage: Eukaryota; Metazoa; Arthropoda; Malacostraca; Decapoda; Varunidae
Exons: 2
Source: RefSeq, a predicted model, not a curated record
CUCUAAACCAAAAUCUGUAUGGACCCAAAACUUCUCGGAUUCAACUUGUAAUACGGCCUCUAAACCAAAAUCUGUAUGGACCCAAAACUUCUCGGAUUCAACUUGUAAUACGGCCUCUAAACCAAAAUCUGUAUGGACCCAAAACUUCUUGUAUUCAACUUGUAAUACAGCCUUAUGUGUCAUGGAAAGACAAACCAAUGGUAUCAAGGUCGGAACGAAUUCUCUGGUGCAAAGACAUUCAUGUACCGGAUCCUUUGGUUGGGUGUGCCGGGGAGAUAACAAAGCCAUCAAGGUUUGAACAGCUCUUCCAGUGGACAGAAAAUAAGAUUGCCAGGAGGUCCUUUGGUUAAGUUUAUGCUAGUAAAGCGAUCAUUUCUCCUGUGCCGUCUAUGCCAUGACCGCACACCCCAGUCAGUCAGUCAAUCAGUCCUCUAGUGCAGAAGGCUGGUAUUACAAAACACUUUGCCUUCUCACAUCAGCUAUAUCUAAAGGUCAAAGGGGGGAUCAAUCAGGUUCUAAUGAGUGUUUUUUUAUGCUCAUGGUACAGAGGAAGGAUGAAACUACCACUAGGGUCAUAAAAGUACCCCUGGAAAUGCCCACAACUCUUACGAAAGCCUUGUCAAAUAUGUGUUCCUGGGCGGCGAAAUGUCUCUUAAUACGACUCUUAAAGUCUCCACACACUGAAUUCCACUUUAUAUUUUUGCCGUUAAGAUGAAAAUAACCAACCUGUGCCAUCAUGGUUAAGACAAAGUGGUGCAAAGUCCCCCAUUUACUGAAACCUCUAUUGUCUGUUGUUCCGAUGAUUAUUUCCCUGGUGUGAAGAUGACAAUGGACUCCCAAUGCUGUCAAGGUUGGGAAAAGUCAUCCAGAGCAGAGCCUUCCCUUUAAUUACUGUGAAAGCCUCCAUGUGUCUAACUGCUUUGUUGAACGUGUGUAGAAAGAAUGACAGCUCACACCCAAUGCUGUCCAAGUUGGGAGAAUCACCCAUGUAAUGAGAUCGUUUUGUUGAAUUUGUGCCUGUGCUUUCCAUGCAGGGGUUAUUUAGGUCCAUUAUUGAAUAUGUGCCAGAAAGAGAGAAAUUCACACCCAAUGCUGUCGAGGUUGGGAGAAUCAUCCAUUGCAAAAUCCUCCAUAUACUGAGAUCCUUUUGUUGAAUUUGUGCCUGUACUUUUCCAUGCAGGAGUUAUUUAGGUCCAUUACUGAAUAUGUGCCAGAAAGAGAGAAAUUCACACCCAAUGCUGUCAAGGUUGGGAGAAUCAUCCAUUGCAAAAUCCUCCAUAUACUGAGAUCCUUUUGUUGAAUUUGUGCCUGUGCUUUCCAUGCAGGAGUUAUUUAGGUCCAUUACUGAAUAUGUGCCAGAAAGAGAGAAAUUCACACCCAAUGCUGUCAAGGUUGGGAGAAUCAUCCAUUGCAAAAUCCUCCAUAUACUGAGAUCCUUUUGUUGAAUUUGUGCCUGUACUUUUCCAUGCAGGAGUUAUUUAGGUCCAUUACUGAAUAUGUGCCAGAAAGAGAGAAAUUCACACCCUAUGCUAUGAAGGUUGGGAAAAGUCAUCCAGUGCAGAAUCCUCCAUGUAAUGAGAUCCUUUUGUUGACUUUGUGCCUGGACUUGUCAUUUAGGAGUUGUAAGUCUUUGGGUGCUGAAGGUGUGUAGCGUACCUCCCAUGGAUGCUCUGCUACUAAGGCUGCACAGGGAGCGACGUGAUGUACUAUUGAUGCGGAGUUACCUUACGAAGGGACUGACGUAACGUGUGUGUGUGCGUGUGUGUGCGUGACCUGGUCGGGUUUCCAAAUUGGAGACUUAGACACUGAAAAAGACAGCAACAGUUUGGAAUUAACUUGCUAUCUGUGAACUAAAAGCUUCCAUGAUAGUGCAUACUCAUUAAAGUGGGUCAGUUUUUUAAUCUAACUCUGCCGGUGGUGUUGCGGAGAGGCCUGGAAGCAACACAGACAGACAGGCUCAGUGUUGUGUGGUGGGUUGAGAGACGAGCUUCCUGCACAACAUCAGCAUACAUAAUAAAACGAUACGUGUGUGAAGUCGUUUCGUCCCGGAAAGUAUACAUACAUAAUACCAUAUUUUGUGUAGCUGUAGCAGAAUGGUAUCGCACAAAUAUAUCGGUAUGCAAA